This is a long non-coding RNA of Syngnathoides biaculeatus (alligator pipefish), 304 nucleotides long. RefSeq lists it as uncharacterized. The record is from RefSeq and is a predicted model, not a curated record. The transcript is spliced from 3 exons. Lineage: Eukaryota; Metazoa; Chordata; Actinopteri; Syngnathiformes; Syngnathidae.
AAAAGGAUUACCAAAGCGCCUUGCACAAAGGUCAACUAUUAACAACAACAGCAUGUCCUGAAAACCAAACAUUUUUUGUUUUUUUAGCCUGUCAUUAAAGACUUGUGCUUUUUCAUUAUGGCAGAAACAGAUAAGUUGCGUGGAAUGGAAGUCAUGGCUUUCGGCAGAUUGAAACUUGGGUUCGACACCUGAUCCGGUACAAUAUCCCGUGGCCACUCGCGUCCACUGUCACCUGAAACUCUUGAGCCGAGAUUGCGCCAAGCGUUUUUAGCCUGACCGCCCGGCCAAUGGCGAGCGGGCGCAA